GUACACACCGCCCGUCGCUCCUACCGAUUGGAURAUGCGGUGAAAUCUCCGGACCGACUUGGGCUUGCAYGGCACUUCGGUGUCUCCCGCGUCGGGAAGUUGCUUAAAUCUUAUCAUCUAGAGGAAGGAGAAGUCGUAACAAGGUAUCCGUAGGUGAACCUGCAGAAGGAUCA
This 173-nucleotide ribosomal RNA is filed under the name uncultured eukaryote. RNAcentral's name for it is "partial small subunit ribosomal RNA". The record is from RNAcentral.